Molecule: ribosomal RNA, 480 nt
Filed under: uncultured bacterium
Lineage: Bacteria
Description: bacterial SSU rRNA
Rfam family: Bacterial small subunit ribosomal RNA
Source: RNAcentral
GACGAACGCUGGCGGCGUGCUUAACACAUGCAAGUCGAGCGGUAAGGCCCUUUCGGGGGUACGACGAGCGGCGAACGGGUGAGUAACACGUGGGUGACCUGCCCUCAGCUCUGGGAGUAAGCCUGGGAAACUGGGUCUAAUACUGGAUAUGACUCCACGGUGCAUGUCGUGGGGUGGAAAGCCUUGUGCGGCUGAGGAUGGGCCCGCGGCCUAUCAGCUUGUUGGUGGGGUGANGGCCUACCAAGGCGACGACGGGUAGCCGGCCUGAGAGGGCGACCGGCCACACUGGGACUGAGACACGGCCCAGACUCCUACGGGAGGCAGCAGUGGGGAAUAUUGCGCAAUGGGCGACAGCCUGACGCAGCGACGCCGCGUGGGGAUGAAGGUCUUCGGAUUGUAAACCCCUUCGGGAGGGAAGAUGGGACGAGCAAUCGUUCGGACGGUACCUCCAGAAGCAGCCACGGCUAACUUCGUGCCAGC